Molecule: long non-coding RNA, 650 nt
Organism: Canis lupus familiaris (dog)
Lineage: Eukaryota; Metazoa; Chordata; Mammalia; Carnivora; Canidae
Exons: 3
Source: RefSeq, a predicted model, not a curated record
UAGCUCUUUAUUCAGUAUAGACAUAUAUGGACAGAAAUACUAGGCCAUAAAUAAAGAAUAGAGGUAAUGAACUGAAGAGAAGAGUUAGUUAAUAUUUGUCCUCUUUUUGUGAAUGGAUCUCUUCAAUAACUCAACGUGGUCACAUUCUUUCAUGCAGCAAAGAGUUGUAGGUCUUCCACAGUAUGCCAUCUUAAAUUCUUUUUCACCACAUUUAUUUUUACAUUGACUACCAAGUUUUAUGCAUGCAUCCCACCAAUUAAAGACAGUAUAGUGUUCUUUACUUCUAGCUGAAAGAAGACAAGAAUGGAUGGAAUUAAAAAUUCAGCAUGGAGUUAUUUCUGAGAUCAUAAGUAUUCCAUGGCUUAUUAUAGCAGAUUGGAGAAGAAGCAGCUGAAAUUGUUCCUCAAAUCCCACAGGAAGCACCAAAGGUAGGAAAGAUACAAAGAAUUUUAAAUCACAGAUAACUGGAUAGUUUAGGAAUGCUUGGAUUCAUUGAUCACUAUUCUGGGAUCAUGUUGUAGUUAUUCCAGAUAUUUAGGAAACAUAAAGAAAGACCUUGUCACUGCCUUGAGAAACUCAAAUUAUUUUUGAAAAGACAAGCCAAGAAACAUAUGACAAAUCAAUAAGGUAAAUGUCAUAAAAGUUGUAUU